This 431-nucleotide ribosomal RNA is filed under the name uncultured bacterium. RNAcentral describes it as "partial 16S ribosomal RNA". It matches the Rfam family "Bacterial small subunit ribosomal RNA", at positions 29 to 507 of the family's 1533-position model. The record is from RNAcentral.
AACGAACGCUGGCGGCAGGCUUAACACAUGCAAGUCGAACGCCCCGCAAGGGGAGUGGCAGACGGGUGAGUAACGCGUGGGAACAUACCCUUUUCUACGGAAUAGCUCUGGGAAACUGGAAUUAAUACCGUAUACGCCCUACGGGGGAAAGAUUUAUCGGGGAAGGAUUGGCCCGCGUUGGAUUAGCUAGUUGGUGGGGUAAAGGCCUACCAAGGCGACGAUCCAUAGCUGGUCUGAGAGGAUGAUCAGCCACAUUGGGACUGAGACACGGCCCAAACUCCUACGGGAGGCAGCAGUGGGGAAUAUUGGACAAUGGGCGCAAGCCUGAUCCGGCCAUGCCGCGUGAGUGAUGAAGGCCUUAGGGUUGUAAAGCUCUUUCACCGAUGAAGAUAAUGACGGUAGUCGGAGAAGAAGCCCCGGCUAACUUCGUG